Molecule: ribosomal RNA, 252 nt
Filed under: uncultured bacterium
Lineage: Bacteria
Description: partial 16S ribosomal RNA
Rfam family: Bacterial small subunit ribosomal RNA
Source: RNAcentral
UACGAAGGGGGCGAGCGUUGUUCGGAAUUACUGGGCGUAAAGGGCGCGCAGGCGGCCUUAGAAGUCAGAUGUGAAAGCCCCGGGCUCAACCUGGGAAUGGCAUUUGAUACUCUGAGGCUGGAGUACGGGAGAGGAGAGUGGAAUUCCCAGUGUAGAGGUGAAAUUCGUAGAUAUUGGGAAGAACACCGGUGGCGAAGGCGGCUCUCUGGACCGUAACUGACGCUGAGGCGCGAAAGCGUGGGGAGCAACAGG